This 368-nucleotide ribosomal RNA is filed under the name uncultured bacterium. RNAcentral's name for it is "bacterial SSU rRNA". It matches the Rfam family "Bacterial small subunit ribosomal RNA", at positions 29 to 414 of the family's 1533-position model. The record is from RNAcentral.
AACGAACGCUGGCGGCAUGCCUAACACAUGCAAGUCGAACGGGAUCCUAGCUUGCUAGGUGAGAGUGGCGGACGGGUGAGUAACACGUGGGAAUCUGCCUUUUGGUUCGGGAUAACCGCGGGAAACUGCGGCUAAUACCGAAUGCCCUCGAGAGAGGAAAGAUUUAUCGCCAGAAGAGGAGCCCGCGUCCGAUUAGGUAGUUGGUGGGGGUAAAGGCCUACCAAGCCGACGAUCGGUAGCUGGUCUGAGAGGAUGAUCAGCCACACUGGGACUGAGAUACGGCCCAGACUCCUACGGGAGCAGCAGUGGGGAAUAUUGGACAAUGGGGGCAACCCUGAUCCAGCGAAUGGCCGCGUGAGUGAUGAAGG